UUUUUCAUUUCCUUUUAUCAACUCAACUGACAUUUACCUACUCUGAUAAUGAGAUGGCACUUUGAGCCAUCAGAGGUGGAUAUGUUUGUGUACGCAUCUUGUUUCUAUCCGCUUUGGGAAGAUCAUCAAGCAAGGGAGCCUUUAUGUCCAACACCUAUAAGCACUACAUGGUGGAUUCUGUCUUAGGCUUCUGCACCUGGACAUGUGACUACAUAGUCAAAUGGGCUCUUUAGAAUUCUGGCAUCAGUUCUCCUUAGUGCAUUUCAGCUCAUUUCUACUGAAGAAUACAUUAUAGAAGUUGAAAUAUUAUGAGAUAAUGUCGAGCAAUUCUUUUUGGGCCAGUAAUCACGGUAAGCGGACUUUUGACUUUGGCAUGGCUUAACAAUAUACAGCUCCAUUGCUUGUAGGCUCAGGUUUCACCAUUAGUCCUCAGCUAUAUGCCUAGCUAACAAUCUGUUUUAUAAAAUAUAUGGUACAGCAUUUAGCUUUAACUAUGUUCUGAUUUUUGCUACUGUCUCUUGCUUUACAUUUUGCAUUAUAUUUUUCGGGUGAUCAUCCUUAUGGUACUAAGAACCAUUGUUGUGUACUUUUGUGUGUGGUUCUUUGUUUUUGAUUUGUUACCAUGUUGGUAAGAAGGCAAUAUUGAGGUUCUUGUCCUGCUUUGCUUCUCAUGGGAAGAAGGAAUGUAGAUUAUAUGCCAAUGAUAAAUCAAUGCAUCAGCAGCUGGAUAUUUAUAAUCUUCAACCGCAAAUGCUGUUAUUUGGUAGACUUGAAUUUUUAUGCCAGAUCUGCAGUGGUAAAAUUAAUUUUUACAAUAAUAUUUGAGUUGUAUAUAACUUUAUGUAAGAAAUAGGUAUUCUACUUGUUGACUUAAAUGUAUUUCCGGUGAGUUAGUGCUACAAUGUACUGGGAAGAUAUAUGGGCUUUUAAACGGUGUUGUUUUGGUCCUUAUAGUUACAGCACAUUUAAUUUCUCCAAGUUCAAUAUAUGUGCUAUUGUCAUAUUUAUUUGUGAACAUCAGUGAUGGCUCAAAACAUUUGAAAGGAGUUCCCUUUGCUCCUCAAGCAACCUCUAGAAUGUUGCAUGACAUGUUUACCUCUGCGACAAAUUAGGUGCACCGAGAUAAUUCAGUAGCCCUCUCUUUUUUCUUUUAUUUUGUGCUAUCUUUAUAAAUUUCAGAAGGUUACCAUCAUUUUUCUCAUGAAAUACAAUGCAUUCUAUUAGGUUAACGUGUUGGGUUACAAUCCAUUGUUGCCAAUCCAAGCCAUGAAUCAGCAGGAUUCAAGCAUGCAUGUCGAGUGCAUGUUGGUAGCCUUCCACCAUUGGCCAAUGUGCAGGUAUGUACUCAUUCUCCUGCUUUACUCCGAAC
Long non-coding RNA from Olea europaea var. sylvestris, 1369 nucleotides. RefSeq lists it as uncharacterized. Lineage: Eukaryota; Viridiplantae; Streptophyta; Magnoliopsida; Lamiales; Oleaceae. The record is from RefSeq and is a predicted model, not a curated record. The transcript is spliced from 3 exons.